AUUGAGCCAAGUUUUAAAUGAGUACACACGAACGUGUGUUCUACGGAGCAUAUUAGGUUUUCACCCGAUUUCUUUGUGCAUAAAUUUUUUUUUCAAAUUCUGGAUUGCUUCUCCACUUCUCUUUGUCUUCCUCAAAUUCCUUCUAUCUGCAGGUACAAUUUUAAUCAAUUUUUUCCAUGAUUUUUGCUGUGCAUAUGAUAAAUUAAACAAUCCCUUAAUCUUCAACUUCAAUUUUGUAGUUUGUAUUUGUUUCUCCUUUUUCUGCUUUUCCAAUUAGUUUCAUCCGACAUGCGAAUUUUUUUGUUGAGAUCAAUCAUGAUACUGGUAUGGGUAUCAUGCCUAAUUAAAAGGAAGAAAAUUUUGGGUAUAGUGUUGCAGUGCUUACUCAAGUUUCAUGGGUUCUGUUCAUACUUCUUUUCUACCCUCUUCCACUUUAAUUUUGUAGUUUUGUAUUUGUUUCUCCUUCUUUUGCUCAUUCGAUUAGUUUCAGUCCACAUAAAUUUUUUUUGGUUGAGAUCAAUAGCUUCUAAACCUAAUUUAAAAGGAAUUUUUUUUGGGUAUAAGUGCUUACUCAAAUUUCACGGUUUUUUUUUAAUCUUUAUUUCCUUCCGUGCUUUUUCUAGAUUCUCCAUACCUUCUAAAUUUUGCAAUGUCAUGGCUGAUUUUCCUCAUCGUUUUUUCCCUUCUUCUAAUUUUGCCCUAUCUUCUUUUGGGCUCUGUGAUGAAGUUUAAUUUUGCAACUCCAUGGUUGGUGUGUGUUAAAUCGAGCGAUAAAAUGUAUUUUUAAAUGUGACGCACGCUCAGUUUUUUAUUUUAUUUGUUUUUUUAGUUGUACGCCUUGAGACUAAACUUCUUAUGCUAGAUUUGAGAGAGGGGCCAACUAAUAAACUUGAAUUUAAGAAAAGCUAUAGUUUCGACGUGUUGGCUUAAAGUCUUUACAAUUGUAUUUGAGGAUAUUUGAGACUUUUCACAAUGCUUAAUUGAGACAUGGUUGUUAAACCUUGGAACAUGACUUUUAUCCGAAGAUGAAUAGCCACAUAUCAGAACAAGGAUACUCUUUGUUUUGAAACCUUUACGCUCUUUGCUGGUUCGAGUAAAGUUCAGGAAAUUCAUCAAAAUUCUUAAUUUCAGGGGUUCUAUGGUAUUAUUCCAUCGAUCCUAUGUCAGUAUUGUUGCUUCUUCAUUGCUUUAUUGCUCUUACAUGAUUUUUUUAAUCUCUUUCUUUUUUCUUUUAGUUGUUUGAUUAUGUUUGGAUACAAGGAAACUCAAACUGGUAGAUGCAAUCAAACCUUUUCUUUUGCUUUUGUAUUUGUGGAAUGAAAGGUAUGAAUCAUUGACGCUCAUUUUUUUCCUGAUUUUUAAUGCUUCCUUAUCAUAGUAGCUGAAUCGAAAGUGACAAUGAAAAUAAGAAGAGAAAUAAGAUUUGGGUCAGAUUGAUAUUAUCACUUCUGUAUGUUUUUUGUAUUCAAUUUCAAUUUGUGUCAGUAUUUUGGCAUCCGAUUUAUGUACUUUAUGGUUUUUUUUGACGUGUGUGCUUCGUGGUAUUUUUAAUUCAAGCCCGAGGGCAAUUUAGUCAUUUUAGUUACUUAGUUGAUAUUGGUCGUUGCGGUGGCUUUUGUUUUUGCAGCCAACACAUCUUCCUUCAUUUCUUACUCGACCGUAUCUUAUUCCUUCAUUUGUUUUGCUUCUCUUCAGUUUCUCAAAGGUAUAUUCCAAAUUCAUUUUGUUCUUGAUGCUCUUUAAAUCUGAUCUGAAACUUGGGGUUAGAUAGUAAGGCAUGAGGAAGAAGAGUGCAAGGCAGGAAGGAGAGACUAUUUAGAGCUCAUCGCCGGAACCAAAGAUAAACUUUCUCUCUUUCCAUCUCAAGUGUUUGCUUUCCUCUAUAUUUAGUCAGGACUAUGCAGCAUGCUUAUUUGGUUUUCUGAUUGUGGAAUGUAUGUAUCUCUGUUGAUUAUGGUUGGAAUCUUUUGGUUGACAGUCAGUUAAUUUCAUCUAAAAUAACAGGUCAGUAUAUUUUAAAUAUCCAAAUUCUCAUUAAUUCGAUGUAGCUUCAUAAUCUUCAGAGAAUAGAGGAUGGAUUCUGUACUUAGAUUUGGUUGCGAUUUCUAAAUGUAGAUGAUAUCCUCAGUAUUAGAUUUGGGUAUGGUGUUUUUUUUUAUUUUCUCUCGCGUAUGCUGGCUUCAUAGCUGUAAGUAACAAGAAUUAAAGUUCACAGAACUUUUUACACAACCUUUGAUUGUUUGACUAUUUGUAUAAAAUAGCUGUUCUCUACUUGAAUAUUGGUGUUAAUAAAAAGAAAACUUAGACGUGUGGCAAAUGCAUGUUUUUAAAGUCAUGUCGUUGAUUCGUCGCUUAUGUGUCUAUAUACUUGCAGUUUAAAGACGUCCUCUGAUUUUAUUGAUAAAGUAUAGAUGUCCUCUGAUUUAUAUAUUCAGUGUUUGUUUUUUCAGUCUCCUAAUGGGUACAUAUCAAAGAUCAUAAAGAGUUUUCCGUUCUUAUGAGUAAGUUUUCAUAUUUUUUACUCCUAUGAAUUAUCGUGACAUUGAUCUUCAAAGACAUACAAUAACCUCUCUUCAUUGCUACUUUGUUUCUACUAUUUUAUGCCUCUAUUACAUUCAUUUCAUCCAUAUGAUCAUGGUGGUUAGAAUUCUAUACAAUAAUAAUAAAAAGUUUCAAUGUGGAAUAGCCUCUUAUUCUCUACUGCCUUAUGGGAAAAUUUGAAAAGUAAAAAAGAACUAUUGUUUGGAGGUGAAAAAAAAAGCUGAAAAUAGUCAUGUUUCUAAUGUUUCUUUAAGUUAUCUAAUUUCCAUGAUUCAUCAAUCAUAUCAUAAAGUAGUCAUGCUUCCUACAAGCUUUUCUUUCCUUCUAUCACUUCUUUUUACCUUUUUGGUAUAACUUUUCAUAUAGGAAAAAUGACACACCAUGCAAAUCGUUUGAAAAUCUUAUUUUAAAUGAUACUACUAAACAAUAAAGAAAUAUUUGGUUCAAGUUGGUUGCUAUCUGUCCAACUUUUUAGUACUAAAGAUGAAAUAUUGGCCCUUUCAGCAUUAAAAGAGAAAGGUUUGUACCCAGCAAGUGCGUGAACUUUUUAGGAGCUUAGAGAGGAUAGCUUUUUUUGUUGUUGGUAUAACUAGCUUUAAACUGCACGUUCAUUGCAUUUUUUCUGCAAAUUCAUGAAUACAUAUGAUACAGAUGCUUUGUUAUUCUAAAACUUGGGACUUUUGUUUUUUGUUUGGUUAAAUUUAUUUGUUUUCGUGAAAGAGGUAGGUGCUGGAUUCAUUUAGAAUGGUUACAAUAAAAAAAUUAUAUCUACGAUCAAAAUAUUAUAUGAUUCUAUAACUUAGUGAAAACAUAGUGGACAUGUAAGAACAGGGAAUUCUACAUUAUAUUCCAUCAUUAUAAACUUACACAUAUGUGAUUGCUUCGUAGUGUGAGACCAAAGGAGAUGAGAUAAAUUUGGCAUAAAUAAGUCAAUUAUUUUCUUUGGCAAGUAUUAUUGAAAAUGAAGUCCAAAAGUCAACACCAUCAUUGUUCGCAUUAUUAAGUUCCUUACUUAAAUUCUUAUUAUUCUUGUAAGUUUUGUUCUUUGAAGAUUUUUAUAGUUUUGGUAAUCAUAUUUGGUGUUCAUAUGUGCAAGUGUGACUUAUCACCUACUUGAAAAGUUAGAUUACAUGAAAAUUAAUGAAUGUGGAACGCAUUUUCCUUUUGUUCUUCUUUUUUCACAUUUCACUUCUAAAAUUCCUUUGAAGAUUGCGUGACAGUUGAAUGCCUGGAGGUCAUGAGUAUUAUCUCAUUUAACUUGCUUUGGAGUAAAUACAUGCCAACACCAAUAAAUUCUUGAUUCCUCGAAGAGUAGUGAUCGUUUUACUCAUUUUCGAUAUGCUCUAUUCAUAAAUCUACAAUGGUAUUCUCUGGUUCGAAUAUAUAUUAGCAACACGUCUUUUUUUUUUCCCUUGUAAAAGGUUCAUGCUGAAUUUUUUUUCCGGUGGCUUGUCAUUUUUGUGGUACUUUAAAACCUGAAAAGAUGAGCAUUUCUGGCAACUUGUGUCAUUUUUGGUCCUCAUCAAGCAAGUGAUAUUAAGGAGCUAACAAUAAUGGAUCGUGGAGUGUACAUCUAUUCAAAAAAUAUUGUUAGCCCUGCUAUAUUCUAUCCUACUAUCUGGUAUAUCUAAAGGGGAUAUUAUAACAAGGUACGAUAUAACAUGUUUGCGAAACCGUUGAAUAUUAGCUGAAAUAUCUUGAAUUUCUGAGAAGACACAAGUAUCAUACAUGCUCCGUCUUUUGUCAAAGUACCUCUUACUGCUUAUGCGCUGGUGAGGUAUAUUUUUGUAAUUCUUUCUUUUUCCCUAGAAAUGUAUUCAUACACCCUUGUUCGACAGUAUGUUGAUUGACUAUUUAAUAUACAGAGGAAAUUCAGACCUAUGUAAAAGUGACGCCAAGGUGGUGGAAUGAAUUGUUGUCUUAGUGGAGGUUAGAAAUACAAGUCUGCAUUCAUCUGUGCUAGUGUCUCUGCCUGUGAGACAAUUCUGUUGAAGGGCAAUACCAUGCACAUUUAAGAAAUGAAAGAAGUAAAAGUUGGGAUUGCUGUAGUGUAUUGGAAUCUUGACGGUCACGGUCAUGGACUUAUUCUCAAGGAUAUCCAUGUAGAGAAUUUCAGUAUAUAUAAUUGGUGGUCAUGUCUUUAUUGUCGAUGGUUCAUCAAACUUCCCUUUUUGAAGACAUUAUGGAAAAGAAAAACUUCAAGUACUCCAUUGGAGUAGAGAUCACUAUGAUGAAACUUGGAUAAAAUGAAUCAAUUUUGUAAAAUAGUAUGUGCCUCAAUUUGGAGGAAUCUGGGGCUUGCAAGGACAAGAAAUCUUCUUGCUCUCAUGUCGAGGUUGUUACUAUCCUUCUAUUGCUGCUGGUGUUAAGACAUUUUGAUGCAGAUAUCAUUGGGGAGGAGUCCAUUAAAGGAUGCAGAUUUAAUAGUGAAAGAAACAGUGUGAUCGGGCGCCGCACGGGCACAUGCCAACUAUGAGUAGAAGUCGAAAAAUUUCUACCCUGAGCACAUACAUGCAGACGAGGAGAUAUAAUGCUGUCUUGAAGGAGUGGAUAUCUUGAUGUAAGAGACGAGGAUGAUCGCUAAAUUUGUAUCUUGGAUUAAAGUUGGUGAUCUGAUUGUCUUACCUAUUAGAAUUACCAUAAGUUCACCCUCGACAACAGGAUCUAUGUCAAGGUGUGCAAAAAUUUAAGUUUCUCUUUUAUUAAGCAUAGAAUAAAAGUGUUGUGUUCUCAGGUUUUAAAUUCCAGCUUCUUUCGUCUCGCUGUUGACUGCCUAA
Nicotiana tabacum (common tobacco) is the source of this 5318-nucleotide non-coding RNA. NCBI's taxonomy places the organism in Eukaryota, Viridiplantae, Streptophyta, Magnoliopsida, Solanales, Solanaceae. The record is from RefSeq and is a predicted model, not a curated record.